Molecule: ribosomal RNA, 504 nt
Filed under: Orthonotus bicoloripes
Lineage: Eukaryota; Metazoa; Arthropoda; Insecta; Hemiptera; Miridae
Description: partial large subunit ribosomal RNA
Rfam family: Eukaryotic large subunit ribosomal RNA
Source: RNAcentral
GCACUCCCGGGGCGUCUCUUUCUCAUUGCGAGUGGAGGCGCACCCAGAGCGUACACGCUGAUACCCGAAAGAUGGUGAACUAUGCCUGGCCAGGACGAAGCCAGGGGAAACCCUGGUGGAGGUCCGCAGCGAUUCUGACGUGCAAAUCGAUCGUCGGAGCUGGGUAUAGGGGCGAAAGACCAAUCGAACCAUCUAGUAGCUGGUUCCCUCCGAAGUUUCCCUCAGGAUAGCUUGCGCUCAUGUGAAAGAGUCUCAUCCGGUAGAGCGAAUGAUUAGAGGCCUUGGGGUCGAAACGACCUCAACCUAUUCUCAAACUCCAAAUAGAUGAGAACUCCGGCUUUCUUGAACAAUUGUUUUUGAAGCCGGGGGCUCGGAUCAGAGUGCCAAGUGGGCCAAUUUUGGUAAGCAGAACUGGCGCUGUGGGAUGAACCAAACGUCGAGUUAAGGCGCCUAAAUCAACGCUCAUGUGAAACCAUGAAAGGCGUUGGUUGCUUAAGACAGCAG